Molecule: non-coding RNA, 521 nt
Organism: Oryzias latipes (Japanese medaka)
Lineage: Eukaryota; Metazoa; Chordata; Actinopteri; Beloniformes; Adrianichthyidae
Source: RefSeq, a predicted model, not a curated record
UCUCUAGAGUUACGGCAGAGGCUCUAGGCGUGACAGGAGGGAAUGCUGUGGCUUGGAUCCGUGGAUGAAGAAGACUCAGACGACCACUCGUGUUUAUGGACUCCUGGGAACAAGGGGCAACGGACUGGCGAUGAAUACUGGUCCAGGGGCUCCUUAAGAAGACAGGCAGGUGAUGAGUCUGACCUUGAGGUGAAUUUGGGACCUUCGCUCUUGAGGCCGUCUGCAGACAUGGGAGUCCUUUUGUCUGUAAGUGAAUUUUCAUUUGCAGAGUCAAACUUCAGAACUGUAGAUAUUAUUUAUGCCCUCUUUGUAAGAUAAAUGUGCAUCGACAGCUUUUCCCUUUGGCCUGACUCAGUCGGACUCACAGCGUUUUAUGAACACAGAGCUAUUUAUUUUCCGUUUUUUAUGACACAAAAUAAACAAAAAAAUGGUUUUAAAUGAAAUACAUCAGGUGAUAAUUCUUAUUUAGUACUGAGGAUGCUGAAAAAUACGACUUAAAGUGCAAGAAAUUAAUUGUUUUU